Molecule: ribosomal RNA, 332 nt
Filed under: uncultured bacterium
Lineage: Bacteria
Description: bacterial SSU rRNA
Rfam family: Bacterial small subunit ribosomal RNA
Source: RNAcentral
CGUGCAGGCGGUUCGGUAAGUUGGAUGUGAAAGCUCCUGGCUCAACUGGGAGAGGUCGUUCAAUACUGCCGGACUUGAGGAUGGUAGAGGGAGGUGGAAUUCCGGGUGUAGUGGUGAAAUGCGUAGAUAUCCGGAGGAACACCAGUGGCGAAAGCGGCCUCCUGGACCAUUUCUGACGCUCAGACGCGAAAGCUAGGGGAGCAAACGGGAUUAGAGACCCCGGUAGUCCUAGCUGUAAACGAUGUAGACUUGGCGUCGGUGGGUUUAAAUCCAUCGGUGCCGAAGCUAACGCGAUAAGUCUACCGCCUGGGGACUACGGCCGCAAGGUUAAA